Bactrocera oleae (olive fruit fly) is the source of this 1317-nucleotide non-coding RNA. The record is from RefSeq and is a predicted model, not a curated record. Lineage: Eukaryota; Metazoa; Arthropoda; Insecta; Diptera; Tephritidae.
CUUUAUACCGCAUCUAUCGGUCAAUAUGCAAGAAAUCUUAGUAAAAUUCAGAAAGAAUCUUUUUUUAAUAAGAGUGUAUCCUCUUUCCUUAAAUGAAUGCAAUCACGUCGAUACUUUCCUCAGUUUGAAAUAAAGUUUUGCCAAAUCCUGAAAGUGUUCCUCCGCCUCUGUUCCUUGCAAGUUGCAAGAUUAUGAAAUGUUCGGUUACACCCGAACUUAGCACUUCCUUACUUGUUUUUCAUCUGUGGUUUUCAUAUUAAAUAUGUUAUCUCAUUUACUUGAAUUUCCGCUAUUAAAGGCGUCCAUAUGUAUGCAUAUGUGUAUUUAUUUCGAUAAUAUUUUAGUUGAUUAAACUUUAAUUUGAAAACAAUCAUAUAUUUAAAUAUUUACGUACAUACAUACUUAUGUUUUAUAUCAAACCUUCACAAUCCCAUUGGGAAAGUGCAACAGAGCUUACAAAGCGAGGCCGGCGGUGUUUUGACAUUUAUUAGCAACUUUAAUUUAAAGCUGUAUUGAUUUAUUUGUUAUAUUUCCAAUUGGGUUCAUAUUUAUAUUAUAUGUACGGAUCAACAUACUUAUUCAUAUACAUAGUCGUAUGUGCAGUCGCCGCGCAUUGUGGGAAGUUGUACUUUAUAAUACAAAAUAUCUUGAAUUGAACAGAUUUCUCGGGAGGGAAUUUCGUGUCACCAGAUGUUUCUACAUUUACUAGCAGCUGUGGAAAUUUUAAAUAAAGAAGUUAACUCGUGUGGGCGGCAAAUGAAAAUUCGAAGAGUGACGGAUAAUUGUUUGCUGAACAAAGUAAAUAACAUGCCCUACAUUAAUUAACUGAGAAGAGCUUGUAAAGUUUUUGUAUGUAUAGUAAAUAAUUUUUACUAAUACUACUAAUCAAACAAUCGCGAUCCCCAAUGUCCUCUGGUGGCAAAGCCACUUCCAUGCUUUAUCACGACAAAUCUGUGAAAUGUUGCUGAACUUGAGCAGAAGACUGUGACUUGGAAACUUGACCGGCAGAAGGAUGAAUAAUAAAGUGAAGGAUGAAAAAAUGAAUUACUAUUAAUAUUUUAUAAUAUUUUUUUUGUGUAUGUUUUAUUUUUGAAGCAAAUUAUACUUGAUUGCAAAAAAUAUUUGCCAUGGGAUUAAUUUUGUGACGCAAAUAUUUAUAUAUUGUAUAUAAACAUAUCAGUAAAUUGGUAUGUACUGCAUGUAUGCAUUGAGUCAUUUAAAAUUUUUUUAGCAAAACUUGUGUAUGUAUAUAUCUCGAAUUAUAUAGUAGUUUUUUUUCCAAUAUAAUGUGAUUUAAAGACAUACUACAAUACAAAA